This 496-nucleotide ribosomal RNA is filed under the name uncultured bacterium. RNAcentral's name for it is "partial 16S ribosomal RNA". It matches the Rfam family "Bacterial small subunit ribosomal RNA", at positions 28 to 523 of the family's 1533-position model. The record is from RNAcentral.
GAUGAACGCUAGCGGCAGGCCUAAUACAUGCAAGUCGAGGGGUAGAAGAGGCUUGCUUCUUUGAGACCGGCGCACGGGUGCGUAACGCGUAUGCAACCUACCUUCAUCUGGGGGAUAGCCCGGAGGAAUCCGGAUUAAUACCGCAUAAAAUCACAGGAUGGCAUUAUCCAAUGCUCAAACAAUUAUGGGAUGGAGAUGGGCAUGCGUGUCAUUAGCUAGUGGGCGGGGUAACGGCCCACCAAGGAGACGAUGACUAGGGGAUCUGAGAGCAUGGCCCCCCACACUUGUACUGAGACACGGACCAGACUCCUACGGGAGGGAGCAGUAGGGAAUAUUGGUCAAUGGAGGCAACUCUGAACCAGCCAUGCCGCGUGCAGGAAGACUGCCCUAUGGGUUGUAAACUGCUUUUAUUCGGGAAUAAACCUUAUUACGUGUAAUAAGCUGAAUGUACCGAAGGAAUAAGGAUCGGCUAACUCCGUGCCAGCAGCCGCCGUAA